AGAGUUUGAUCCUGGCUCAGAGUGAACGCUGGCGGCGUGCCUAACACAUGCAAGUCGAACGAGAACGGGUAUUAGUUUACUAAUACUGUCAGCUAAGUGGCGCACGGGUGAGUAAUAUAUAGUUAAUCUGCCCCAAAGAAGAGAAUAAUUGUUGGAAACGACUUGUAAUGCUCUAUAUGCCUUUAUCACAUAAGUGAGCAAGGGAAAUAUUUAUAGCUUUGGGAUGAGACUGUACGGUAUCAGUUUGUUGGUGAGGUAAUGGCCCACCAAGACUAUGACGCCUAACUGGUUUGAGAGGAUGAUCAGUCACACUGGAACUGAGACACGGUCCAGACUCCUACGGGAGGCAGCAGUGGGGAAUAUUGCACAAUGGAGGAAACUCUGAUGCAGCAACGCCGCGUGGAGGAUGACACAUUUCGGUGCGUAAACUCCUUUUAUUAGGGAAGAUAAUGACGGUACCUAAUGAAUAAGCACCGGCUAACUCCGUGCCAGCAGCCGCGGUAAUACGGGGGGUGCAAGCGUUACUCGGAAUCACUGGACGUAAAGAGCAUGUAGGCUGGUUUGUAAGUUGGAAGUGAAAUCCUAUGGCUUAACCAUAGAACUGCUUCCAAAACUGCAGACCUAGAGUAUGGGAGAGGUAGAUGGAAUUUCUGGUGUAGGGGUAAAAUCCGUAGAGAUCA
This 680-nucleotide ribosomal RNA is filed under the name uncultured bacterium. Its description in RNAcentral is "bacterial SSU rRNA". It matches the Rfam family "Bacterial small subunit ribosomal RNA", at positions 8 to 699 of the family's 1533-position model. The record is from RNAcentral.